UCCCUGGUGGUCCAGUGGUUAAGACACUGCACUCCCACUGCAAGGGUCAUGGGUUCAAUCCCUGAUCAGGGAA
Molecule: non-coding RNA, 73 nt
Organism: Bos taurus (domestic cattle)
Lineage: Eukaryota; Metazoa; Chordata; Mammalia; Artiodactyla; Bovidae
Source: Rfam